Molecule: ribosomal RNA, 253 nt
Filed under: uncultured bacterium
Lineage: Bacteria
Description: partial 16S ribosomal RNA
Rfam family: Bacterial small subunit ribosomal RNA
Source: RNAcentral
UACGUAGGGGGCAAGCGUUGUCCGGAUUCAUUGGGCGUAAAGAGCGUGUAGGCGGUCAGGUAGGUCCGUUGUGAAAACUCGAGGCUCAACCUCGAGACGCCGAUGGAAACCAUCUGACUAGAGUCCGGAAGAGGAGAGUGGAAUUCCUGGUGUAGCGGUGAAAUGCGCAGAUAUCAGGAAGAACACCCGUGGCUAAGGCGGCUCUCUAGUACGGUACUGACGCUGAGACGCGAAAGCGUGGGGAGCGAACAGG